Grammomys surdaster is the source of this 896-nucleotide long non-coding RNA. RefSeq lists it as uncharacterized. Lineage: Eukaryota; Metazoa; Chordata; Mammalia; Rodentia; Muridae. The record is from RefSeq and is a predicted model, not a curated record. The transcript is spliced from 3 exons.
UACAGCCCUCGACCCGCCUCCUGCGCCCCCGCGUGCCUCCUGGGUCGCAGCUGUCCUCCAGCCCAGCCGGCGCUCGGCGAAGCAGGGAUUACCUCUGGCGGCCGCAACUGCUUUCUGGAGCCGCCACUGGCUGGAUGAGAGCGGACUUCUGCCGGACGCUAGACAAACGGUAGCCCCACCCCGGCCAGUGCCUGCGGCAGACCCGCCGUAGGGCUGAGCCAGCUCCCCACCCCCUCACCUUAGGGCGCAGGCCUGCAGAGCUAGCACUCCGCCCUAGCGGUCUUUGCGCAUUCCCUGCAUGGCCUUAGAUAAAUCCCUGCCUUGAUUUCCCCAACCAUGCAGAAGAAAAAGAGGGACAAUGGCCUCAGCCAAUCUUUGUGUAGCAUUCUGGCCUUCUCUCUCAAGUUCCUGCUCUACAUACCUGGGAUCAGCGCCCUUGUGGGGGUCACCUGACCCGGGAGAGGGCAACAGAGGCCCCGAACACCAGAGCAGGCCCCCUGGACGCACUACAAGUGUUUGGAGCGCCAAAGAUGCAAAAGGAUUGAGGCGGUCCCAAGGCUCAGGGCUCUUCACAGAUACUGUAGCUGCCUGCAGCCAAGGGAUAACUGGGUUCACCUGAAAGGGCGGCUGAGAAUGAAAGGAGGAUGGAGGGCGAAAAGAGAUGAAGCCAAGACAAGGGUCACACCUCCUAAUCCUUCCCAAACAGUUCCACCAACUGGGGAUCAACUAAUCGAACAUGUAAGCCUAUGGAAGCCAUUCUCAUUCAAACGCCCAUGAGAAAGCAAGGGGAAAUCCUAGGGAAUUCACACUACAUAUUUAGUGUUGCAUGGUGAGGUAAGUACUUGGGAUGAAAUGGGUGAGAGGGAGGGAUUGCCAAGGGCCUUGAGAAAACUUUU